This 23-nucleotide non-coding RNA is filed under the name Arabidopsis thaliana (thale cress). Lineage: Eukaryota; Viridiplantae; Streptophyta; Magnoliopsida; Brassicales; Brassicaceae. The record is from RNAcentral.
GGAAAGCAUGGAUGGAGAGAUAC